Long non-coding RNA from Sinocyclocheilus anshuiensis, 571 nucleotides. RefSeq lists it as uncharacterized. The transcript is spliced from 3 exons. The record is from RefSeq and is a predicted model, not a curated record. Lineage: Eukaryota; Metazoa; Chordata; Actinopteri; Cypriniformes; Cyprinidae.
AAGAUGUUGCCACAGCUUGUGCAAAAACUGUCUACAGAGCUACUGGGAGCUCAACAAGUCCCUGGAGUGUCCUGUUUGUUUGAGGGAGACACUGUUCUGUUCUUCUACAUCAUUUAAGUAUUUCUCGCUUGGCCUCAGAGGGUGAAUCCUCUCAAGACAGCAACUUCAAACCACUCUAUGUGGGGAAUGCAGAAAGUGAAAUGGGAGCAGUCCAAUGAAACCAGCCUUUGAUUUAUGCAUGAUUUACUGCUUCUUGAGACGAGGAAGUAGAUACAGACGUGAUGCUACAUGACACCAUUUCUGCACCCAGUUCCAUCUUAAAGAAACCCAAUGAAUCUAGUGAGAAUUCUCACCUUACGCCCGCAACUACUUGUAAAUCAUUAAGGUCCAACCUUUGUCCAAAAUGCGGCAAGAGUUUCAAAAGAAAGUCCGACCUCAGAACCCAUGAGAAGGUGCACUUCUUGAAGAAGCCACACCACUGCUCCACCUGCGGAAAGAGUUAUGUCAGUAAAUAUGAGCUCUCCAUGCACAUGCGGCUACACACUGGCGAGAAGGUGUUGGACUGUUCUUA